This 811-nucleotide long non-coding RNA is filed under the name Homo sapiens (human). Its description in RNAcentral is "HSALNT0357776". Lineage: Eukaryota; Metazoa; Chordata; Mammalia; Primates; Hominidae. The record is from RNAcentral.
GGCCUCUGGACAGCCCAGGUUGGUGGCAUCCCCACCCUGGUACUCACACAGGUGGUGCUCUUCAUAGUGAUGUCAUUAGAAAGGACAUUUCUGCCAUUGUUCAGGCUGGCUUCAACAAAGACCUCCUUAAAGCACAGAAAGCGAAGAUGGUGAGAGCCAGCCCGGAGAGAUGCAGUUCUUGCCCUUGAGUCCAUUGGCUUAACUCUGAAAGGCGACCUGGAGCAACGGUACCAUUCCUCGGGCAAUCAUCUCCUGCAUCCUGCCCUCCUCACAGACCCUAGGACACUGCAGAUCCCUAGGACACUGCAGAUCCCUGAACACCUUGGGGGCCACCAACAAGGGAGGAAAUGACAUGGGAAGAAUGUCGAUGCACAUGUUCGUCCACUGUUCCUCCCACCUCCGGUCCUCAUCACGCAGAGCGGACCCUGUGGUCCACGACUGGCAUCUGGGCUCUGCUUUCCCAUUGCAGAGACCCCUGUGAGCACCCGCCACGCCCAGGCCCUGUGCAGCACUCUGAUGUGUAACAGGAAAGGCAGGCAGAGUCCCUGCUCUCAAGGACUCACCUUUAAGGACUGCAUGGGAGACAGACAACAAAAUUAAAAAUAGAGAACAAAAUAGAUGGCAGAGUGCAACGUGCUGUGAUGUCCAUGAGCAGAGGGAAGGAGAGGCACAGAGAGAAAGGGACAGCCGCUUCGUCACAGGCGACCAGAAGCAUUCGUGUGAUGUUCCACAGUUUCUUCAAUCCCAUUUCAUUUUCUUUUUCUUCCAUCAUAUUUAAGCAAAAUUAAAUUUAUUAUGUUGUAGUUGAAAA